Molecule: ribosomal RNA, 443 nt
Filed under: uncultured bacterium
Lineage: Bacteria
Description: partial 16S ribosomal RNA
Rfam family: Bacterial small subunit ribosomal RNA
Source: RNAcentral
CCUACGGGAGGCAGCAGUGGGGGAUAUUGGACAAUGGGGGGAACCCUGAACCAGCGAAGCCGCGUGAGUGAAGAAGUAUUUCGGGAUGUAAAGCUCUGUCAGCAGGGAAGAAAGAAAUGACGGUACCUGACCAAGAAGCCCCGGCUAACUACGUGCCAGCAGCCGCGGUAAUACGUAGGGGGCAGGCGUUAUCCGGAAUUACUGGGUGUAAAGGGAGCGUAGACGGUUAUGUAAGUCUGGAGUGAAAGGCCGGGGCCCAACCCCGGGACUGCUCUUGAAACUAUUUAACUUGAGUGCAGGGGAGGUAGGCGGAAUGCCUGGUGUAGCGGUGAAAUGCGUAGAUAUUAGGAGGAACACCAGUGGCGAAGGCGGCUUACUGGACUGUAACUGACGUUGAGGCUCGAAAGCGUGGGGAGCAAACAGGAUUAGAUACCCUUGUAGUC